Molecule: transfer RNA, 58 nt
Filed under: Salmo trutta (river trout)
Lineage: Eukaryota; Metazoa; Chordata; Actinopteri; Salmoniformes; Salmonidae
Rfam family: tRNA
About the family: Transfer RNA (tRNA) molecules are approximately 80 nucleotides in length. Their secondary structure includes four short double-helical elements and three loops (D, anti-codon, and T loops).
Source: Rfam by way of RNAcentral
UGGCUCAGUUGGUAGAGCAUGGUGUUUGCAGCACCAGGGUUGUGGGUUCGAUUCCCAC